UACGAGUGCCCCAAGCGUUACCCGGAAUUACUGGGCGUAAAGGGUGUGUAGGCGGUUGUGUUAGUCUUCUGUUAAAACGUGGGGCUCAACCUCACGAUCGCGGGGGAAACGGCACAACUCGAGGGUGCGAGAGGUAAGCGGAACUCACGGUGUAGGGGUGAAAUCCGUUGAUAUCGUGGGGAACACCAAAAGCGAAGGCAGCUUACUGGCGCAUUCCUGACGCUGAGACACGAAAGCCAGGGUAGCGAACGGG
Molecule: unclassified non-coding RNA, 253 nt
Filed under: uncultured Parcubacteria group bacterium
Lineage: Bacteria
Description: contains 16S-23S intergenic spacer region
Rfam family: Bacterial small subunit ribosomal RNA
Source: RNAcentral